GCGCCCGUAGCUCAGCUGGAUAGAGCGUCCGCCUCCGGAGCGGAAGGUCGCAGGUUCGAAUCCUGCCGGGCGUACCA
This 77-nucleotide transfer RNA is filed under the name bacterium. Its description in RNAcentral is "tRNA-Arg". It matches the Rfam family "tRNA". Rfam says of the family: Transfer RNA (tRNA) molecules are approximately 80 nucleotides in length. Their secondary structure includes four short double-helical elements and three loops (D, anti-codon, and T loops). Further hydrogen bonds mediate the characteristic L-shaped molecular structure. tRNAs have two regions of fundamental functional importance: the anti-codon, which is responsible for specific mRNA codon recognition, and the 3' end, to which the tRNAs corresponding amino acid is attached (by aminoacyl-tRNA synthetases). tRNAs cope with the degeneracy of the genetic code in two manners: having more than one tRNA (with a specific anti-codon) for a particular amino acid; and 'wobble' base-pairing, i.e. permitting non-standard base-pairing at the 3rd anti-codon position. RNAcentral also lists the same sequence under 1 other name. The record is from RNAcentral.